GUUCCUGUAACGCAAUGGAUAGCGAGUUGGACUUGUAAUCCAAAGAUCGUGGGUUCGAAUCCUACCUGGGAUG
RNAcentral lists this transfer RNA (73 nucleotides) under Trichonephila clavata. It matches the Rfam family "tRNA". From Rfam's summary of the family: Transfer RNA (tRNA) molecules are approximately 80 nucleotides in length. The record is from Rfam by way of RNAcentral. Lineage: Eukaryota; Metazoa; Arthropoda; Arachnida; Araneae; Nephilidae.